GUGGACGUAGCUCAGUUGGUUAGAGCUUCGGAUUGUGAUUCCGGAGGUCGUGGGUUCGAGUCCCAUCGUCCACCCCA
This 77-nucleotide transfer RNA is filed under the name Nevskia sp. RNAcentral describes it as "tRNA-His". It matches the Rfam family "tRNA". Rfam says of the family: Transfer RNA (tRNA) molecules are approximately 80 nucleotides in length. Their secondary structure includes four short double-helical elements and three loops (D, anti-codon, and T loops). RNAcentral also lists the same sequence under 1 other name. The record is from RNAcentral. Lineage: Bacteria; Pseudomonadati; Pseudomonadota; Gammaproteobacteria; Nevskiales; Nevskiaceae.